AUUGAACGCUGGCGGCAGGCCUAACACAUGCAAGUCGAGCGAGCGGCGGACGGGUGAGUAAUGUAUGGGGACUGCCCGAUCGAGGGGGAUAACUACUGGAAACGGUAGCUAAUACCGCAUACUAUCGGAUAACCCAUAUGGGAUUAGCUAGUAGGUGAGGUAAUGGCUCACCUAGGCGACGCUCCCUAGCUGGUCUGAGAGGAUGAUCAGCAACACUGGGACUGAGACACGGCCCUGACUCCUGCGGAUGCAGCAGGGGGGAGUGUGGCACAAUGGUCGCAAGCCUGAUGCAGCCAUGCCGCGUGUAGGAAGAGGGCCCUAGGGUUGUAAAGUACUUUCAGACGGGAGGCGUUACCGACAGAAGAAGCACCGGCUAACUCCGUGCCAGCAGCCGCGGUAAUAC
Molecule: ribosomal RNA, 403 nt
Filed under: uncultured bacterium
Lineage: Bacteria
Description: partial 16S ribosomal RNA
Rfam family: Bacterial small subunit ribosomal RNA
Source: RNAcentral